This 60-nucleotide transfer RNA is filed under the name Biomphalaria glabrata. It matches the Rfam family "tRNA", at positions 7 to 64 of the family's 71-position model. From Rfam's summary of the family: Transfer RNA (tRNA) molecules are approximately 80 nucleotides in length. Their secondary structure includes four short double-helical elements and three loops (D, anti-codon, and T loops). Further hydrogen bonds mediate the characteristic L-shaped molecular structure. tRNAs have two regions of fundamental functional importance: the anti-codon, which is responsible for specific mRNA codon recognition, and the 3' end, to which the tRNAs corresponding amino acid is attached (by aminoacyl-tRNA synthetases). tRNAs cope with the degeneracy of the genetic code in two manners: having more than one tRNA (with a specific anti-codon) for a particular amino acid; and 'wobble' base-pairing, i.e. permitting non-standard base-pairing at the 3rd anti-codon position. Lineage: Eukaryota; Metazoa; Mollusca; Gastropoda; Planorbidae. The record is from Rfam by way of RNAcentral.
AUGGCUGAGUAGUAAAGCUCUUGGCUUCCGAACCGAGGGAACCCAGGUUCGAUUCCUGGU